Molecule: long non-coding RNA, 519 nt
Organism: Oxyura jamaicensis (ruddy duck)
Lineage: Eukaryota; Metazoa; Chordata; Aves; Anseriformes; Anatidae
Exons: 4
Source: RefSeq, a predicted model, not a curated record
AGUUGCUGGAAUUAUUACAGCUGAUUUUGCCCCAGGCACGGUUCACUGGGGAGCUGGUACCUGGGGUUCCGCUGAUAUCCCUGUCACUGGCAAGUGAUCUCAGAAUAUAUUUUUUUCCUGAGGUUUAUGUGCCAUCUUAUGAAAAUAUGUAGAAGUCUUCCAAUUUGCUUUAAUGUCCUGGAAGAUUGACCUUAGAAAUAUUCACCCUACCCUGGAGACGAUAAAUUUGUCACCAAAGUAGUUGUAUCAGCAUCGUGUUGAUCCAGCAGCAGUAAAGCAUUACUUCAUUAAGACUGAUGGAAGUAACUCUUCAAUAGCCAUAAAUCCACCUGCCUGCACGUUGCAUUAUUCACCUUCUCAAACAUCAGUGAUUCUUUUUCUCAUCAUGGAACUCUUGGAAGAAACUUAGAAUUUGUAAGUCAGUGUUAGCAUGAAUGUUAUUGCACAAAACUAGAUGUUGGCCACAUAAUGGAAGAACCUGGAGAAGUCUGGAAACUGAGGCUGAUAGAUAUAAGCAUC